CUUGCAUGGUAGUUGGUCACAAACCAUUACAGUAUUACAUAUAUAUAAAAUAUUGUUAAGGCCCUUCAUGGAUGUUUGCAUGCAUAGGAGGAGGUGGUGGCGGUGGAGGAGGACCUCCGCGCAUAGGAGGUAGUGGACCUCCAUGCAUAGGAGAAGGAGGUGGAGGUGGUGGUGGUGGAGGACCUCCACGCAUAGGAGGAGG
RNAcentral lists this long non-coding RNA (202 nucleotides) under Aquilegia coerulea. Its description in RNAcentral is "long non-coding RNA (ACOE_LNC000080)". The record is from RNAcentral. Lineage: Eukaryota; Viridiplantae; Streptophyta; Magnoliopsida; Ranunculales; Ranunculaceae.